Molecule: RNase P RNA, 369 nt
Filed under: Podiceps cristatus (great crested grebe)
Lineage: Eukaryota; Metazoa; Chordata; Aves; Podicipediformes; Podicipedidae
Description: Bacterial RNase P class B
Rfam family: Bacterial RNase P class B
About the family: Ribonuclease P (RNase P) is a ubiquitous endoribonuclease, found in archaea, bacteria and eukarya as well as chloroplasts and mitochondria.
Source: Rfam by way of RNAcentral
AGUCUAGGUAGAUAAGAGGAAAGUCCAUGCUUGCAUUAUCUGAGAUGAUAAUAGUGUCUGUGUAAGUAUAUAAGAAAUAAAACUUAAAGGCUAAUUAAAUUAGUCUAUGGCAGAAUCAAGCUCUAAAAGGAGGAUUGUACACUCAAUUUUCUUCAUGAGUAAGAUUCUCUAAGGUGCCACAGAGACGAGAUUUAUAGAAAUAUAAAUGAUGAAACGCGGUAAACCCCACAAGCAAGAAACCUAAAUUUUGGUCAGGGAAUUGCAGAUAUAGGAAAAUGAACCUCACCUGCGAAGUUCAAGUCUAUAUCUAUAAAAGUAUAUGGUCUUGAAUUAGAUUAAUUAUCCGUUUAUACAGAACAUGGCUUAUAG